AGGAGACCUACUAACCCAUAGACUGAAAGCGAAUUUGCGAAUAGGUCAUGAGGUGUAGUCACCUAAGGUCGUUGAGGGUCUGUUAAUACUGCCUCUUCAUAAGCUGCCAGGUUAGAGAUAACUAAGUAGUUGAAGAAAAGGACUUCUUUGAAUUAUUCAGUCUAAGUGUGGAAUUAAGUACACCAGAAUGCGGGCUAUUAGCUCAGGUGGUUAGAGCGCACCCCUGAUAAGGGUGAGGUCCCUGGUUCGAGUCCAGGAUGGCCCACUUUCAUAACGUGGCUAAAUUAGUCAAUGAAUGGGGGUAUAGCUCAGUUGGUAGAGCGCCUGCUUUGCAAGCAGGAUGUCAGCGGUUCGAGUCCGCUUACCUCCACCACUAUUUUUAGAGUUGAAUAAACAUCAGCACCUAGAGAUGUCCUUGCAAAGAUUGUAGACAUCAUAGAUUGCUGGUCUUUAUAGACUAGCGAGAACCUUGACAACUGCAUAGAAGAAAGAAAGCAAAGGUAGUUCGAGUGUCAGAACAGACAUUUGAAAGAAACAAAAAGCCCGACUGUUCUUAGUUAGCCGAAUGACACUAGCAAUAGUGUUUCGAGGUUGAAUGAGAAUGGUCUAGCAAAAAAGAUCUUUUAUAUCCAAGAAAGGUCAAGCUACAAAGGGCUCACGGUGGAUACCUAG
Molecule: transfer RNA, 672 nt
Filed under: Cymatolege spiroidea TAU-MAC 1315
Lineage: Bacteria; Bacillati; Cyanobacteriota; Cyanophyceae; Nodosilineales; Cymatolegaceae
Description: partial contains 16S ribosomal RNA, 16S-23S ribosomal RNA intergenic spacer, and 23S ribosomal RNA
Rfam family: tRNA (bases 298-370)
Source: RNAcentral